GCGAAGACGUGCCUGAUAAGUUGCUUUUCCUGCAUGGCUCCGGGCACCGCGCUUGCUGGAUAGACUUGUGACAGUUUGUCUGUGGGCUCUAGUGUGGGAUGUACGAGAUUUUUGCAAACUAGAUCAGAGACAAGAUCGAGUUCCGGCGGGCGAUGUGAACAACUGAUGCCAACAUCACAAAGAAAAUCCAUUUAGUCAGCAGCAGCAGAGGAAAUAUGCGUCAGUUCAUCUUCUGCUUGGUUACCUAAAACGACGGGACUGCUGCAUAUCGAUAAUUAACUUUAUUAACAAUAAAUUAGAAAACCAGGAGACGAAGGGAAAAAAGAAACAUAAAGCUGUUUGGAGAGAUAAGAAUAGAAUAGUUUCCAGUGCUAGUGGAAGCAGCAUAAAAACUGAAACGAGGAGCCGACCAUCCUUCUUGACAAAAAGGGGGGGGAAAAGAAUAAUAAAGAAACCCGCCGCCGCGUGAUCGGGCAUAUGGUUUACUCUGUGGCAUCAUAGAAGAUCAGAUUUAUCCAUAGAAGUGCAAUUAAGAGGUGAAGCAGAGGAGGGGAAAGACAUCAAAGAGCCUGGUGGUAAGAUAUCAGCUUCGGGAUCCUAUUUCAUCAAAGAACCGCCUUGUAAGCGGGUCUGGUGUGUGUUAAAUUCGUCGUGGCCAAUGUUCUCCUGCUUAUGUUGCACAGAAGUGUAGGUAGGGAGUGCCAUCUCAGAUAUCGUCUUCAUCAUCUGACCCUGGUUGAAAAUUGCGCGGUCCGUCAAUAUAACUAAACCAAUCUCCAUUGCAUUCCUUUGAACUAGCAAGAUUCUGCAUGACAGCAUCUCUUUUAUUUUUAUAUCACUUUGUUAGAAGAAGGCAGUAGUUGGAUUUAUGAAGAAAUCUCACACAUUUCAAGUCAUCAAUUACAAUUUUUCUUUCGAAAUUUUGAUGGAUUUGACUUAGAGAAAAGUGAAAACUGACGCAUUUUUGAGUCCACCAAAUUUUCGUGCUGAAAAAUUUCGCUCACGACUAGCGCUGCAAAAGGUUGCUUCCGCUUUCUUUAACUCUGCUUUUAGGCGAGACUUCCUUUGAAAAUAAAAGAAAAAGUUCGCACCACCCAAGUAUUGAAAAUCCAAUACUGAACGCCACAUCUUCCCUUUUAAAAAAUUUACGCCCAUUUUCUUCAAUUUAUUUACAAAGAGAGGAUCUUAAACAAAGCACAACAUGCGCUUCAACGUCUUUUAUUUUAGGUAAUGAGAUUUUAUACGGAAGAAGACAAUGGCUUUUUAGACUUCCCGGGUAAACAUAUUUUUUUUAUUUUUAUCUUUCAUGAAUAGUUUGGAGCCAGCCUUCAGAUAUUGCCAAUUCAAACG
Long non-coding RNA from Argiope bruennichi, 1350 nucleotides. RefSeq lists it as uncharacterized. The transcript is spliced from 4 exons. The record is from RefSeq and is a predicted model, not a curated record. NCBI's taxonomy places the organism in Eukaryota, Metazoa, Arthropoda, Arachnida, Araneae, Araneidae.